AGAAGCCAGGCAUGCCUAUCCACGAGCUUAUUAAAGAAUUCAGGGCUACAAAAGGCUCUCAUUGUAAGUUACUUAAUUUUUCUCAUCUCUGUUGUUUAACAAAACAGGCCAAUCAAUUCUCAUCCUAUCGGUUGUUUGUUUUCAUAUUGUAAAUCAUAAUGUGCACUUUUGCUUGUUUGCAGUCUACAGGAAGAAGAAUAAAGCUGUACAACCACAAGUACAGCCGCAGGUCACUGUCCAAGGUCCUGAAAGGUCCCCCCAUCCCAAGCCAAUCCCGGAGUGGGAGGCAGGCCCGUUGCUAAUGGAAGCUAGAUGUGAGGAUGUCAGGGAGCCUUUCUCCUUCAUCUCUAGUGACCAGCCCUGCAGCAACAGAGACAUCCAGGCUAUGGAUGCAGUGGCAGGAGCUUCUACUGACGGUGGCCAGAACGAGUGUGGCCUGCAGGUCUCUGCCACCACCAUCACACUGUCCCCAGGGCCCAUCCCAGCAGACAUUGCCCAGGGCCUGGCCCUGUACCGGCGCAAGAUUGACCUAGAGUCGUCCCCCCGGGACUCUCCUCCACUCGGGGCUUCCGCCAACAACUCCUGUGCGCGUGUCUGUUCGGCCCUCUUCGAGCGGGUCUCCUUCAGCGAGAUCAGCCAGGAGUUGGAUGCGGUGCUGAUCCGCACUGGCGUGCUCCCAUCAGAGUCCCUGAUCAUCGUGCAGACAGAGCAUGUACCCAAGAUGAUUGUGUUCCAGGCUCAUCCCCUAUUGGUUGAGAACGCAGCAGUGGCUCCGCCUCCGUGUGACGUCCCUGUCAGGUAUAAGUGCAGCUGUGCCUCAAUGGUGGGCGCCCUCGAAGACGUGGUGGCACCAUUGGAGAUGGCCGUUGCAUCUCAGCCUAGCUAUCCCAUCUGUGAGAGAGCAGGUCCCGUGGUGGCGAGACCAGCUGCUAUGGUCGCUGAGCCUGAGGAGUCUCCAGCCCUUGGAGACAAGGUUGUACCCCUUGAGGUCCACUCUGCACCAGUCAAACACCAGGAGAUGACACCCUCAAGGCCCUCCAUCCCAGUUGGAACACUGGAGCUCCCUGUUUCAGCCCCUGCUGUGUCUGACUCCCCUGCUGUGUCUGACUCCCUUGCUGUGUCUGACUCCCCUGCUGUGUCUGACUCCCCUGCUGUGUCUGACUCCCCUGCUGUGUCUGACUCCCCUGCUGUGUCUGACUCCCCUGCUGUGUCUGACUCCCCUGCUGUGUCUGACUCCCCUGCUGUGUCUGACUCCCCUGCUGUGUCUGACUCCCCUGCUGUGUCUGACUCCCCUGCUGUGUCUGACUCCCCUGCUGUGUCUGACUCCCCUGCUAUGUCUGACUCCCCUGCUGUGUCUGACUCCCCUGCUAUGGCUGUCCAAGACGCGCAGAUUAGUUUGACCGAUCGUCCUCUCUCAGUCAUCCUACACUCCCUCUCCGGUGCAACUUCACCAUUCGAGACAGCAGAGGAUGUGAUGCUGAUUCCUAUGGUAGUGUCCCCUCCUGAAUCAGUCAAAAGGGUGGUGAGAGAGUCCUCUGAUCUUCUGUGUCCUCUUCCUGCAGCGACAUUGGAGACUGAGUCUGUUAGUGUGAUUUGUCCCCCUCCUUCUCCAGUGACUGUGGAGAUCCAGUCUUCCAUUCUGGCUUCUCCCCUUACUGCUGCAACCGUGGAGACAGAAUCCUCCAAUCGGAUUUGUCCUUCUGUGGUCAGCGUGGAGACAGCUUAUCGGCCAAUUCAAUCUCCUUCUGCUGCAGAGACAGUGGAGGCCGAAUCUUCUGUUUUGACCUGCCCCCAUACUGCGGUGACCGACGACUUUGUGGCCCCUGUUUCUGUGUACCUUCCUGUUGUGGCACCAGAAGAGACCGGUGUCCCCAGUGUGCAGCUCCCAGCUCCCGCGCCUGCCUUGACAGAGGAAACUCAGUGCCAGUCUGCUUCACCAUGCCUGCCCACCCUCACGGCCGCAGGAGAGUCCAGAACCCCCUUCUUGGUCUACCUCCCACUGCCUGCUCCAGAGCUGGCUAAGACCCCUGGUCUGUUGUGCCAACUCGGCCUGGGACCAGAGGAAGCCAAGAGCUUCCCUUUCCUGUGUCUCCCUAUUUCUGACAUCCCCAGGACCCCAAGUCUUGUGACUGCCAGCCUGGCUCCAGCUCAGACUGCGGCUGUGGCUCCUGCUGCUGCUACGGAUUUACCAAGGACCAACCUCCCUGGAGUGACAGAUAUCCCCAGGACCCUGAGUUAUGUGGCGGCUGGAGCUCAGGAGCUACCACGGCUCCAGAGCUAUGCGGCUAACGCCGCUGAAGUCCAGGAGCCACCGAGGACCCCCAGCUAUCUGGCUAACACCCCUGGAGUUCAGGAAAUACCACACAACCCCAGCUAUCUGAAAAACUCAGCUGUCUUCCAAGAUAUGUGCUUUAUGUGCCCCUCUGUUACCGCCUCCAAUCUGUCCAGGAACAAUAGCUUUGUGCACUCUCCGGCUGCCAUGGCUCCACAGCAGCUGAUUAGGGGCCCGUGUAUGAUGUCUCUGUACCCCCAGGGAGGGCCUGUGAUGGGCCACUGUACCCACUCCCCAGGACAGUGUCCUGCGUCUCUGCAGCAGCAGGCUGGCAUGGCUCCGCUCAACCACGGACAGCAGACCAACACCAACUUCAUGCCCAUUUGUUCUCAAGGGCCAAGCCUGUGUAGCUGCCUCGGCAGAACUGGCAGCCACUGGCGCCUCUGUCACCUGACGCGACCCGAGUCCCAGGGCAGGGUGGGCGGCAUGAUCUGCCCCUACCAGAACUCCCAGACCAUGAUGCACUGCAACAGCCUGGAUCACAUGGCCAACAUCCCCAUGUACCAGGACUGUGGCCACUACUCUAGCAGCUGCCACCUGCUGCCACCGUGCUCCCAGUCGUCCCACGGCAGCCUGCACACCCACCACGUGGCCGAGCCCCGUUGCUCUGCUCACAACCUGGGCACCUCCUUCGUCCAACCCCAGAACUGCUCCUCCGACCCCCUCUUCCACUACCCCCAGCAGUACCACCUGGUGGCCACCCCCUCCCAGGAGAGGCAGCAGGCCCUGUGCCCUCUCCAGUGCCCACUGCUGCAGCAGCGCCACAGCUCCCUGCUCUUCUGUGGGCACCAGGGGGAGCUGAGCAGGCUGGGCUCCUCCAGCUGUGUCCCUGCCACCAACCAGAGACAGAACCAGGGAGGGGUGGAGCAGAAGAACAACAACCCCAGCUGCGUAUCGCUUCAUAACAAAAGAUUAGACACGAGCGCAAACAACAAUCAAGGUAGCUAAACAUGUUGCCACUAUGAAAUGUAUGGUUGUGUUUUAGAUUUCACUUGGACUUUUUUGUUUAUUUCUGGAUGUCAGGGCUAGCAUCCAUGCCUACCAUGUGGUUAUUAUUAAAAGUUGAACAUAUGGCAUUAAGUGGUUGAAGAAGCUAUGUGUUUUGAUGUUAUAGAUGAAACUAUGCUCUCUCUUUUUCUUGUCACAGGCUGCGUCAUGAAUUGCAAUCCCCAGGGCAACUAAUCCUGUCUUCACAUGAGAAGGGCCUUAUUUUUGCAGUUGCCAAUGUCUCUUUUGCAUUCUUUUAAACUGAUAAUGAGGAAUAAAUAUACUUACAUUGCAUGAAUUUCGAUAGUGCACAAACCCUCAAUCAAUCACUACAAAAACAUACAACUUAAGGUAAUUGCAGCUAUGUAAAGGCAGUAGAUGGAGGGUAAACUUCCACAUUGAUACAAAAGUUUGACAAAGAUUCGGUAUUGGGCUGUUGUUUAAAGCUAGAAUCCUUAGUCGCUACAUACAUUUUUGAACUAUAACUUAUAAAUCCCUCUUGAGCUUAGUUCAACUGUCGUACCCCAUCAGAAACCAAAAUAUAAGCUUGUUUUACUCCAAUGUUUGUAUUCAAUGUAAACAAACACUUCAUACCCUCCAAACAUGGUUCAAACUAUAAUUUUGAUAUCACUGAUGGUCAGUCCUUAUGUCAAUGGCUCUGUCUAUGAAUUUGAGAGAGGCAUGGAGAAAUGUAACCAAUCGCUCAACUUUUUACCAAAACAGUGGCGAGGUGUCACUUUGUUCUAUUUUUAAACUAAGGAUUCUAGCUUUAGGACCACUGUUUCUAUGGAAUGAAUAGAACCAUUGCAACACUCACAAAAUGAGUCAUAAUGUCACAUCCAUGUUGCAUAGUAACAGAUUCCAUGGGUGGAAGUGUGAGUAAAAAAAGAAAUAGAAAAUCACCAUCAACCUUUAAAAUCUGGCUUAGACAGUCUGGACUGACUUGGACUGAGCCUAAGGCCAUGUCAUCCUUUUAACAUCUGCUCAGUUACUCGUCAGAACUCAAAAUGACCUGUUCGCCAGGUUGUUAUGACAUAGUUGCUUGGGAUAAGGAAUGCAUUAAAUAGAAAAGCUAAAUUAGCUUGCAGGUAAUGUUAGCUAUUAUACAUGUUGUUUGUUUUCCUGCUAUUGAAGCUCAUCACAAUAUUAUUUGACUAUCUAAUGAGAAGAAGUUAGAGCAACUACACCAUCAUAUUUAAAAAGUAUAACAAUAGAGUAGACAGAAAGUGAUACAUUGUUACUUUUGGCUAUGUUGUGGUGGAUGAGCUAAACAAUGGAACAUGGCCUGUGUCUGUCGAUUGCCACCAACAACAACAAGCAAAACUCUAUGCAAGUGCCCACUACCAGUUACCAACACCAACAACAAGCAACACUGUCAUCACCAGUGCCUACUGCCAGUCCAAUGAAAAGGGAUUUCAACUCUACAGUCUGACCUUCAACCCCCACUGAGCCAAAGUACAGUCCACUCAGUCCAACUGGGACAACAGCUGGUUCAGAACCAAAGGAGAGAGUCAAAUCUCCCCAAACAUGACAGCAGAGAAAAUAAAUAAAGAGGUCAAAUCGAACUCAACCUAAAAAAUGGAAUCACCAAGGAAAUGUGUGGGGUAAAGAUCCCGAAUCUCCUAAUUUACCCCCGGCACAAUUAGCUAUUGUUUAUUUCACACUAUGUUGAAGUAAAAAUCAGUGUAUAACACGUCAACCCCAACUCAUCUUCAUGUCAUCUUAACCAAUCAACUGCAUUACUGUUAAAUACUUUUACUAUGAAGCGAAAACCGCCAAAUAUUUCCAAAUCGGACUUAAGUAACAACAUUGUGGGCCUGUUACAAUACAUAAAUCAUAAGUCACUGUCCCUAGCCGACUACCACCCGGUUACUCCACCAUGCACCUUAGAGGCUGCUGCCCUAUGUACAUAGUCAUGGAAAACUGGUCACGUUAAUCAUGUUUACAUACUGUUUAUUUGCAUUCAUUUUUUAUUGAAUAUUUAAAAUAUACAAUAUACUUGCAGUGAAGCAUCACAUUUAGUCAUCUAACAGCCUACCAUCCGGAGUGACACACAGACACAACCAGGGUUUACAUACUGUUUAACCCCCUUCAUAUGUACAGUGUAUACUGUAUUCUAGUCAAAACCUAUCCAAUUGAACUAUUGCUGUACAUACUGCACAUUCGGAAAGUAUUCAGACCUCUUGACUUUUUCCACAUUUUGUUACGUUACAGCCUUAUUCUAAAAUGGAUUAAAUUGUUUUUUCCCCUCAUCAAUCUACAAACAAUACCCCAUAAUGACAGACCAAAAACAGGUUUAGACAAAACUGAAAUAUCUCAUUUAAAUAAGUAUUCAGACCCUUCACAUAAUUUUGCACGCCCAAUUUUUCAGUUUUUGAUUUGUUAAAAAAGUUUGAAAUAUCCAAUAAAUGUCGUUCCACUUCAUGAUUGUGUCCCACUUGUUGUUGAUUCUUCACAAAAAAAUACAGUUUUAUAUAUUUAUGUUUGAAGCCUGAAAUGUGGCAAAAGGUCGCAAAGUUCAAGGGGGCCGAAUACUUUCGCAAGGCACUGUAUUUGUGGAGUUUCUCCCAUUCUUCUCUACAGAUCCUCUCAUGAUCUGUCAGGCUUGAUGGGGAGCGUCGCUGCACAGCUAUUUUCAGGUCUCUCCGAAGAUGUUCGAUUGGGUUCAAGUCCGGGCUCUGUUUGGACCACUCAAGGACAUUAAGAGACUUGUCCUAAAGCCACUCCUGCG
This 6050-nucleotide long non-coding RNA is filed under the name Oncorhynchus kisutch (coho salmon). RNAcentral's name for it is "lncRNA (ENSOKIG00005015895.1)". Lineage: Eukaryota; Metazoa; Chordata; Actinopteri; Salmoniformes; Salmonidae. The record is from RNAcentral.